RNAcentral lists this transfer RNA (76 nucleotides) under Chitinophagaceae bacterium. RNAcentral's name for it is "tRNA-Lys". It matches the Rfam family "tRNA". From Rfam's summary of the family: Transfer RNA (tRNA) molecules are approximately 80 nucleotides in length. Their secondary structure includes four short double-helical elements and three loops (D, anti-codon, and T loops). The record is from RNAcentral. Lineage: Bacteria; Pseudomonadati; Bacteroidota; Chitinophagia; Chitinophagales; Chitinophagaceae.
GAACUCGUAGCUCAGUUGGUAGAGCAAUACACUUUUAAUGUAUGGGCCCUGGGUUCGAGUCCCAGCGGGUUCACAA